CAGCGACUCCUGCUUUGGGGCAACUGCUCCAAGGAAAUUCUUACUUUUGGGGGCAGGUGUAUCUACAAACCGCCUACUGCCUGUGGGAGCUGAUGUUCAGAUGAUCUGUGGAACGCCAGCCCUUGUGGAGUGGGACUGAGUGCUGGGUAGUGUGGAUUGGGCUGCUGCUCCGUGGGCACAUGGGAUAGAUGUAGUGGUAGCACAGACCCUGCUCAGACGAGCUGGUAUUUGUAUACAUGGUCAGCUACAUCAGCAAGUCUUUGUAUCCCAGGGUUUUGCUUUCAGGGUAAUCUCAUGUGCUGCGAUGCUGCUUCCCAUCAGCAGUUCUGUAUGUCAGUAUGUAAAGUACAUUAUACCAUGUGUUAAGCUGUGAAAGGAAUUGGCAUGUGCUCAGAUGCAUUUGGUGUUUCCCUUCCUCACACCAAGUCAAGGAUGUGCUUCAACUGAAAUGUGGAAUGAGGGGAGGUAGAGCAAUGCCCCUGUUAUGCCCUUGUCCAAAGAAGUGCUCCUGCCAAAACAGAUGCCUGACUGGCAAGCAACCCACCUGCCUGCAGCCAGCAGACCAUCCCCUGCGCCGAGUUGCAGCUGGGCAAGGUUGUGUGGUUAUUCCAAAAGCACCGUCUGUUUUCCAGGAGUUGUUUUUGAUAUUGAUGUUCACACGUCCAUGACUACCUUGCUUAGCUAACUAAGGAGACUGCAUGCUAGGGAUGUUACAUACUGCCUACGACGUGUCACAUGUGACCCUGUAAUGGCGUGUGCUUGGAGUAGGGAUGUUUCUAUGAAUUGUCAAGCUGCGUGAGGCAUCGUGCUGUUCCUAGAUAACUGAGAGUAUGCCUGAAAUGUACAGGGAAAGAACAAAGAGAAGAAAUCGAGUGUUGUAAUGCCACAAAAGAAAGCUUAACUUGUUUUCUUGCUUUUUUUUUAGAGAACACCUGUUCCCAGCGCUGAAGCAUUCCGAUGGUUCUUUUAAGCAGUAGUAUAUCUUAUUUUCAAGGCAGUCCGAAGUGAAUGGCAAGCUAAAGUCUUGUUUUAAGAAACUGCUUAGUCUACCACUGAAGAAUAUACUCAGAUACUAUUUUCAUUUCUGUAUAGGGGUUUCCUCAAAAGCAAAAGACAAAAAUCUGGGAGCCUGGGGAAUUGGCCAGCUUAUUCACAUUCAGUACACUGAUUCUUUCUUUGAUGUAACUUAGCUAUACUAGUGAAGUUGUUGUCUAUUUUUAAAGUGGCUGUAAAAAAAAAAAAGAAAAAAAAACACAAAAAAAGCCAAAAAAAACAAAAAAAGUUUGGGUAAACCCCUGCUAUAAAGUCAUGUAUCUUUGAAAAGUAACAUAUCUAUACUUCAUUUUCAAAUAUAUGUGUUUCAGUACUGUAAACUGUACAGAUAGCCGCUUGUAUUUUGUGUGUUUAGACACAAGGAGACAAUCAUGUCUGAGCAUCUAUGGAGAUUAAUGGUUUGUACACAACGGUGUGGUUCUGCGAGUUAAAUCCGGAGCAAUAAAUCCUAGCUUUAAAUAUUAUUUUGCUAGUUGUUUAGCAGCAGCAGCAACAGCAGCACUGUUUUACCAUGCAUCCUUCUAUAGAGACUUGAUACCAAGUUUUGCAAGAUAAAAAGAUUGUGAUGCAUCUAGCAAUUACCUUCCGUCGUGGUGUUUUAAGAGGGGAAGACAUAAAAUGUAAGAUUAAUCUUUCACGCACUAUGUUAGAGUAGUGGUUAAUGCACUUGCAUUGCUUCCGAAAGAGCUUUACAUAGGGGUAUCCAUCCAAAAAUGCUGUAUGGUGUUUGACCCACUUUUCACUGUGUUCUAAGGCCAAGUGCCCAGCCUAUGUAGAUGUGCGUAAAGUUUGUUCUAGGAUGCAAAAUGAAGUGAGCACGAGCCCUUAGUAUAAACAAGGACUCAGCUUCAUUGCCCUCCGUGUACGGGUUCUUACGUAAAGUUUUUGGUCAGUGGAGUAACUGUUUUGUAAAGCUGAAUGCAAUACUUCUGGUCCAAGAGGAGCUCUUUAUGGUUCAGGUUUGACCACUGGGUCUCACUUGCAGUUGUGUUUAUUUGAGAACCUGAAUAUUUUUGGGUAUAAAACUGAAUUUAUAAAUACUACAAUAAC
Gallus gallus (chicken) is the source of this 2103-nucleotide long non-coding RNA. Lineage: Eukaryota; Metazoa; Chordata; Aves; Galliformes; Phasianidae. The record is from Ensembl.